RNAcentral lists this unclassified non-coding RNA (306 nucleotides) under plant metagenome. RNAcentral describes it as "partial contains 5.8S ribosomal RNA, internal transcribed spacer 2, and large subunit ribosomal RNA". The stretch from base 1 to 105 matches the Rfam family "5.8S ribosomal RNA", at positions 50 to 154 of the family's 154-position model. The record is from RNAcentral.
GAAAUGCGAUAAGUAAUGUGAAUUGCAGAAUUCAGUGAAUCAUCGAAUCUUUGAACGCACAUUGCGCCCGCCAGUAUUCUGGCGGGCAUGCCUGUCCGAGCGUCAUUUCAACCAUCAAGCCCUCGGGCUUGUGUUGGGGACCUGCGGCUGCCCGCAGGCCCUGAAAACCAGUGGCGGGCUCGCUGUCACACCGAGCGUAGUAGCAAUCACCUCGCUCAGGGCGUGCUGCGGGUUCCGGCCGUUAAACAGCCUUACAAAACCCAAGGUUGACCUCGGAUCAGGUAGGAAGACCCGCUGAACUUAAGC